Molecule: ribosomal RNA, 1914 nt
Filed under: Salmonella enterica subsp. enterica serovar Typhimurium str. DT104
Lineage: Bacteria; Pseudomonadati; Pseudomonadota; Gammaproteobacteria; Enterobacterales; Enterobacteriaceae
Description: bacterial LSU rRNA
Rfam family: Bacterial large subunit ribosomal RNA
Source: RNAcentral
AUCAUUUAAAGAAAGCGUAAUAGCUCACUGGUCGAGUCGGCCUGCGCGGAAGAUGUAACGGGGCUAAACCAUGCACCGAAGCUGCGGCAGCGAACGUAUCACCCAAGACAACUUUACGGAGUUGACGAUUGACGGAGCGAAGCGACGUCAAAGCGUUCAUUAAAGUCGAGUUGGCUUAGGGAUACGUUCGUUGGGUAGGGGAGCGUUCUGUAAGCCUGUGAAGGUGUGUCGUGAGGCAUGCUGGAGGUAUCAGAAGUGCGAAUGCUGACAUAAGUAACGAUAAAGCGGGUGAAAAGCCCGCUCGCCGGAAGACCAAGGGUUCCUGUCCAACGUUAAUCGGGGCAGGGUGAGUCGACCCCUAAGGCGAGGCCGAAAGGCGUAGUCGAUGGGAAACGGGUUAAUAUUCCCGUACUUGGUGUUACUGCGAAGGGGGGACGGAGAAGGCUAUGUUGGCCGGGCGACGGUUGUCCCGGUUUAAGCGUGUAGGUGUGUGUUCCAGGUAAAUCCGGUUCACUUUAACACUGAGGCGUGACGACGAGGCACUACGGUGCUGAAGCAACAAAUGCCCUGCUUCCAGGAAAAGCCUCUAAGCAUCAGGUAACACGAAAUCGUACCCCAAACCGACACAGGUGGUCAGGUAGAGAAUACCAAGGCGCUUGAGAGAACUCGGGUGAAGGAACUAGGCAAAAUGGUGCCGUAACUUCGGGAGAAGGCACGCUGACACGUAGGUGAAGUGAUUUACUCAUGGAGCUGAAGUCAGUCGAAGAUACCAGCUGGCUGCAACUGUUUAUUAAAAACACAGCACUGUGCAAACACGAAAGUGGACGUAUACGGUGUGACGCCUGCCCGGUGCCGGAAGGUUAAUUGAUGGGGUCAGCGCAAGCGAAGCUCCUGAUCGAAGCCCCGGUAAACGGCGGCCGUAACUAUAACGGUCCUAAGGUAGCGAAAUUCCUUGUCGGGUAAGUUCCGACCUGCACGAAUGGCGUAAUGAUGGCCAGGCUGUCUCCACCCGAGACUCAGUGAAAUUGAACUCGCUGUGAAGAUGCAGUGUACCCGCGGCAAGACGGAAAGACCCCGUGAACCUUUACUAUAGCUUGACACUGAACAUUGAGCCUUGAUGUGUAGGAUAGGUGGGAGGCUUUGAAGUGUGGACGCCAGUCUGCAUGGAGCCGACCUUGAAAUACCACCCUUUAAUGUUUGAUGUUCUAACGUGGACCCGUAAUCCGGGUUGCGGACAGUGUCUGGUGGGUAGUUUGACUGGGGCGGUCUCCUCCUAAAGAGUAACGGAGGAGCACGAAGGUUGGCUAAUCCUGGUCGGACAUCAGGAGGUUAGUGCAAUGGCAUAAGCCAGCUUGACUGCGAGCGUGACGGCGCGAGCAGGUGCGAAAGCAGGUCAUAGUGAUCCGGUGGUUCUGAAUGGAAGGGCCAUCGCUCAACGGAUAAAAGGUACUCCGGGGAUAACAGGCUGAUACCGCCCAAGAGUUCAUAUCGACGGCGGUGUUUGGCACCUCGAUGUCGGCUCAUCACAUCCUGGGGCUGAAGUAGGUCCCAAGGGUAUGGCUGUUCGCCAUUUAAAGUGGUACGCGAGCUGGGUUUAGAACGUCGUGAGACAGUUCGGUCCCUAUCUGCCGUGGGCGCUGGAGAACUGAGGGGGGCUGCUCCUAGUACGAGAGGACCGGAGUGGACGCAUCACUGGUGUUCGGGUUGUCAUGCCAAUGGCACUGCCCGGUAGCUAAAUGCGGAAGAGAUAAGUGCUGAAAGCAUCUAAGCACGAAACUUGCCCCGAGAUGAGUUCUCCCUGAGACUUAGAGUCUCCUGAAGGAACGUUGAAGACGACGACGUUGAUAGGCCGGGUGUGUAAGCGCAGCGAUGCGUUGAGCUAACCGGUACUAAUGAACCGUGAGGCUUAACCUU